CAAGCGGUGGAGCAUAUGGCUUAAUUCGAUGCAACGCGAAGAACCUUACCAGGGCUUGACAUGCACCUGCAAUCCCCCGAAACGGGGCCGCCUUCCAGGGUGGUGCACAGGUGGUGCAUGGCUGUCGUCAGCUCGUGUUGUGAAAUGUUGGGUUAAGUCCCGCAACGAGCGCAACUCUCAUGUUUUGUUACCAGCGGAUAAUGCCGGGGACUCGAGACAAACUGCCUCUGUAAAGAGGAGGAAGGUGGGAACGACGUCAAGUCAUCAUGCCCCUUACGCCCUGGGCUGCACAUAUGCUACAAUGGCGUCUACAAAGGGUUGCUAACCUGCGAAGGUAUGCUAAUCUCAAAAAAGACGUCUCAGUUCGGAUUGGAGUCUGCAACUCGACUCCAUGAAGUUGGAAUCGCUAGUAACCGCAUGUCAGCAAUACUGCGGUGAAUACAUUUCCCGGGCCUUGCACACACC
Molecule: ribosomal RNA, 465 nt
Filed under: uncultured bacterium
Lineage: Bacteria
Description: bacterial SSU rRNA
Rfam family: Bacterial small subunit ribosomal RNA
Source: RNAcentral